Molecule: small nucleolar RNA, 83 nt
Filed under: Neogobius melanostomus (round goby)
Lineage: Eukaryota; Metazoa; Chordata; Actinopteri; Gobiiformes; Gobiidae
Description: Small nucleolar RNA SNORD100 (ENSNMLG00000020311.1)
Rfam family: Small nucleolar RNA SNORD100
About the family: The members of this family belong to the C/D class of snoRNAs which contain the C (UGAUGA) and D (CUGA) box motifs. Most of the members of the box C/D family function in directing site-specific 2'-O-methylation of substrate RNAs.
Source: Rfam by way of RNAcentral
UGUAUCAGUGAUGAUGAUUUGGCUCCCUCUACUGAACAUUGUGAGGAGAUUGCCUUUGUUACCCAAUUUAUGUCUGAGAUACA